This 384-nucleotide unclassified non-coding RNA is filed under the name Hevea brasiliensis (rubber tree). Lineage: Eukaryota; Viridiplantae; Streptophyta; Magnoliopsida; Malpighiales; Euphorbiaceae. The record is from RNAcentral.
CAAAUUACAAAAACAUCAAGGGUAACCAUAUGAAUUUGGAAGUCCAAUCACACAGAUGACAGACCAAAUCAGUAGGUUACCACUUUAAUUAUUUAAAUAGAAAUUUAAAUCACUAAGUUAGCCAACAAAUACUUUAAGGGUUGUUAUUAAGCAGAAAAAUAAAUACAUUAUACAAUGCAUAAAAAGACAUCAACGCAACAACUGAAGUCAAAUCUUAUUUGCAUUUUUUAUAGAAAAAUCCGAAUUAUGAGGAAUGGAGAAAAGAGGACAACCAUAAGCAAAAAUAUUUUGUUCAACCACCUUAGUAACCAAUUAAGCAGGAAUUAAACAAAAAAUAAUAAAUAAAAGACAGAACAUACCAUUAGGUAUAUCUUUCAGUGGGGU